This 484-nucleotide ribosomal RNA is filed under the name uncultured bacterium. Its description in RNAcentral is "partial 16S ribosomal RNA". It matches the Rfam family "Bacterial small subunit ribosomal RNA", at positions 30 to 507 of the family's 1533-position model. The record is from RNAcentral.
AUUGAACGCUGGCGGCAGGCCUAACACAUGCAAGUCGAGCGGAUGAAGGGAGCUUGUUCCUGGAUGCAGCGGCGGACGGGUGAGUAAUGCCUAGGAAUCUGCCCGGCAGAGGGGGAUAACGUCCGGAAACGGGCGCGAAUACCGCAUACGUCCAGAGGGAGAAAGGGGGGGAUCUUCGGACCUCACGCGAUUAGAUGAGCCUAGGUCGGAUUAGCUAGUUGGUGGGGUAAAGGCCUACCAAGGCGACGAUCCGUAACUGGGCUGAGAGGAUGAUCAGUCACACUGGAACUGAGACACGGUCCAGACUCCUACGGGAGGCAGCAGUAGGGAAUAUUGCACAAUGGGCGAAAGCCUGAUCCAGCCACGCCGCGUGUGUGAUGAAGGUCUUCGGAUUGUAAAGCACUUUUAGUUGGGAAGAAGAACAGUGUAUUAAUACCUUGCUGUUUUGACGUUACCGACAGAGUAAGCCCCGGCUAACUUCGUG